GACGAACGCUGGCGGCGUGCUUAACACAUGCAAGUCGAACGGAAAGGCCCUGCUUUUGUGGGGUGCUCGAGUGGCGAACGGGUGAGUAACACGUGAGUAACCUGCCCUUGACUUUGGGAUAACUUCAGGAAACUGGGGCUAAUACCGGAUAGGAGCUCCUGCUGCAUGGUGGGGGUUGGAAAGUUUCGGCGGUUGGGGUGGGUUCGGGGGUUUUCAGGUUGUUGGUGGGGUAGUGGCUUACCAAGGCUUUGACGGGUAGCCGGCCUGAGAGGGUGACCGGCCACAUUGGGACUGAGAUACGGCCCAGACUCCUACGGGAGGCAGCAGUGGGGAAUAUUGCACAAUGGGCGGAAGCCUGAUGCAGCAACGCCGCGUGCGGGAUGACGGCCUUCGGGUUGUAAACCGCUUUCGCCUGUGACGAAGCGUGAGUGACGGUAAUGGGUAAAGAAGCACCGGCUAACUACGUG
RNAcentral lists this ribosomal RNA (467 nucleotides) under uncultured bacterium. Its description in RNAcentral is "partial 16S ribosomal RNA". It matches the Rfam family "Bacterial small subunit ribosomal RNA", at positions 28 to 507 of the family's 1533-position model. The record is from RNAcentral.